CCCUACGGGGCGCAGCAGUGGGGAAUAUUGCACAAUGGGGGAAACCCUGAUGCAGCGAUGCCGCGUGGAGGAAGAAGGUUUUCGGAUUGUAAACUCCUUUUAUCAGGGACGAUAAUGACGGUAUCUAACGAAUGAGCACCGGCUAACUCCGUGCCAGCAGCCGCGGUAAUACGGAGGGUGCAAGCGUUACUCGGAAUCACUGGGCGUAAAGAGCGCGUAGGCGGGAUAGCAAGUCAGAUGUGAAAUCCUAUGGCUUAACCAUAGAACUGCAUUUGAAACUGUUAUUCUAGAGUAUGGGAGAGGUA
This 305-nucleotide ribosomal RNA is filed under the name uncultured bacterium. Its description in RNAcentral is "bacterial SSU rRNA". It matches the Rfam family "Bacterial small subunit ribosomal RNA", at positions 337 to 659 of the family's 1533-position model. The record is from RNAcentral.